This 71-nucleotide transfer RNA is filed under the name Cordylochernes scorpioides. RNAcentral describes it as "tRNA-Gly". It matches the Rfam family "tRNA". From Rfam's summary of the family: Transfer RNA (tRNA) molecules are approximately 80 nucleotides in length. Their secondary structure includes four short double-helical elements and three loops (D, anti-codon, and T loops). Further hydrogen bonds mediate the characteristic L-shaped molecular structure. tRNAs have two regions of fundamental functional importance: the anti-codon, which is responsible for specific mRNA codon recognition, and the 3' end, to which the tRNAs corresponding amino acid is attached (by aminoacyl-tRNA synthetases). tRNAs cope with the degeneracy of the genetic code in two manners: having more than one tRNA (with a specific anti-codon) for a particular amino acid; and 'wobble' base-pairing, i.e. permitting non-standard base-pairing at the 3rd anti-codon position. The record is from RNAcentral. Lineage: Eukaryota; Metazoa; Arthropoda; Arachnida; Pseudoscorpiones; Chernetidae.
GCAUCGGUGGUUCAGUGAUAGAAUGCUCGCCUGCCACGCGGGCUCCCCGGGUUCGAUUCCCGGCCGAUGCA